UAGGGAAUCUUCGGCAAUGGACGGAAGUCUGACCGAGCAACGCCGCGCGUGUGAAGAAGGUUUUCGGAUCGUAAAGCUCUGUUGUUAGAGAAGAACGUUGGUAGGAGCGGAAAAUCUACCAAGUGACGGUAACUAACCAGAAAGGGACGGCUAACUACGUGCCAGCAGCCGCGGUAAUACGUAGGUCCCGAGCGUUGUCCGGAUUUAUUGGGCGUAAAGCGAGCGCAGGCGGUUCUUUAAGUCUGAAGUUAAAGGCAGUGGCUUAACCAUUGUACGCUUUGGAAACUGGAGGAAUUGAGUGCAGAAGGGGAGAGUGGAAUUCCAUGUGUAGCGGUGAAAUGCGUAGAUAUAUGGAGGAACCCCGGUGGCGAAAGCGGCUCUAUGGUCUGUAACUGACGCUGGGGCUCGAAAGCGUGGGGAGCAAACAGG
Molecule: ribosomal RNA, 429 nt
Filed under: Bacillota bacterium
Lineage: Bacteria; Bacillati; Bacillota
Description: Firmicutes bacterium partial 16S ribosomal RNA
Rfam family: Bacterial small subunit ribosomal RNA
Source: RNAcentral